UCAGAGAUGACUUGGUUAGCCCAAUUAA
Molecule: non-coding RNA, 28 nt
Filed under: Rattus norvegicus (Norway rat)
Lineage: Eukaryota; Metazoa; Chordata; Mammalia; Rodentia; Muridae
Source: RNAcentral